CUCUGCAACUCGAGAGCAUGAAGGCGGAAUCGCUAGUAAUCGCGGAUCAGCAUGCCGCGGUGAAUACGUUCCCAGGCCUUGUACACACCGCCCGUCACACCAUGGGAGUUGGAUUGACCCGAAGGUGGUGAGCUAACCCGCAAGGGAGGCAG
This 152-nucleotide ribosomal RNA is filed under the name uncultured compost bacterium. RNAcentral's name for it is "partial 16S ribosomal RNA". It matches the Rfam family "Bacterial small subunit ribosomal RNA", at positions 1303 to 1452 of the family's 1533-position model. The record is from RNAcentral.